RNAcentral lists this ribosomal RNA (182 nucleotides) under uncultured bacterium. RNAcentral describes it as "partial 16S ribosomal RNA". It matches the Rfam family "Bacterial small subunit ribosomal RNA", at positions 1320 to 1500 of the family's 1533-position model. The record is from RNAcentral.
AUGAAGCUGGAUUCGCUAGUAAUCGCGCAUCAGCCACGGCGCGGUGAAUACGUUCCCGGGCCUUGUACACACCGCCCGUCACACCAUGAGAGUUGGGGAUACCCGAAGCCUGUGAGCUAACAGUAAUGGAGCAGCAGUCGAAGGUAGAAUCAAUGAUUGGGGUGAAGUCGUAACAAGGUACC